UCCACAUUCAUUCAAAAAAUGUCCAUAAAAAAUAAAGGAAAAGAGAAAACAAAGAAAACAUUGGAUGAACAUCUCAUUAAGUUAAAUCAAAAGCAUCAAUAAUUUUAACGGCAACAACAAUUGUAAACAAAACACUAAGCACACAGAAUGUGCGAAUAUGAAAGCUAUGCGAGUGGGUGCGUGCGUGUGUUGCAGUGUGUGUAAUGGCGGCGCAAAGGUACUGACCCCGUUUGCAGGACUGCUCAUGACAGUUGGUCUGGAAGGGCAAUGCUUCAGUCACGCACCAGACAUCAUCGCCAUGGAACAGCGGAUUGACACGCAGCCGUCUUUCCACCGUAAACCAUCUCUCAUACGGGCAACCCUCAUGUGCAAACAAACGAAUGACGCCUCUUUUUCAGGUACGACACGCUCCCUUUAAAUACAACUCCCUUCCGCCGUUAAUUGACAAACUCCACCCAAAAUCACGCUAAAAUGAAAGUGAAAGUAGAACAGAUUCUUUUGUUUGCCACAGUGCAUAAAGUCUUCUUGUGAAGGGAGCUCUAGUGUCGAGAAUGGUAUCAAUGACCUCUGUCAAAAGAUCAGUCUCUAAAUCUCGAGUCAGAGAUUUGCAAUGUCGUAGUCCAUAAUUAAACUGCGAAUAUCAGAUAUACUUUGUUUUGACAAACCUUCGCUAGAACUCCUACUGUAGGAGCAGAGCAUGUGUGGAAAGACAUACAGAUGCAGACUUGGCCAAAUCUGUACCCUAGAAGCCAGCGCCAAUAGGGUGAGCCAGAGGGGAUAGGUCCACUUCCUCUCAGCUGUACCUUUUCCAUAUGGACUAUGCUAUUUCUGGAUGCAGUUAACAAUAUGUGCCUCUUUCCUGUCUUGACAGGAUUUCUGUUCACCAAUUCAGGUGUCCAGGAAGUCAGCUGCCUUCAGGGAGAGAAGUUUGUCCUUAGCUCUAAGCAUCAACAUGGAAUGUAGCCCAUCCUGGUGACUUUUGUAGAAGACUACCAAUGUGUUGAUUGUCCACACCAACAAAUGGUAGCCCCUAAGCCUCUAAAGAGGAAUUGUUUUGAGGCUAGAAACACAGCCCUCAUUUCUAGGCAAUUUAUGUGCCACAAGAAAUGAAGGCCUUCCUAGGCCACACCCCAAGUGUGAGGGACCCAAGGUCAGAAGCCUGGCCUCCGAAUAGAAAGGGUAUGAAGCCCUCGCUGUGUAACCCUUAUCAUAUGCAAGGAAUUGCAAAAAGGGCCUUGUUUGGAGUAAACUUUUCCAAAAGUUUGC
Long non-coding RNA from Cyprinus carpio (common carp), 1266 nucleotides. The record is from Ensembl. NCBI's taxonomy places the organism in Eukaryota, Metazoa, Chordata, Actinopteri, Cypriniformes, Cyprinidae.